UCUUCGCAUUAAUCCCAGGCAUCUAUCAAGUCUCAGUCUGUUUCAUUUGCAUAUGUAUCACCAUGAGAACACAGAUCAGCCCAAAAAAAACUUCUAGAAGCCAAAAGAUUUACAGGAUCAAGAGCUUUGUAAACAACCAAAAAUAGGCCGGGCCUGGUGGCUCACGUCUAUAAUCCCAGCACUUUGGGAGGCCGAGGCGGGUGGAUCACGAGGUCAAGAGAUCGAGACCAUCCUGGUCAACAUGGUGAAACCCCGUCUCUACUAAAAAUACAAAAAUUAGCUGGGCAUGGUGGUGCGUGCCUGUCUGUAAUCCCAGCACUUUGGGGGGCCGAGGCGGGUGGAUCACUUGAGGUCAGGAGUUCGAAACCAGCCUGCCCAACAUGGCGAAACCCCGUCUCUACUAAAAAUACAAAAUUAGCUGGGCAUGGUGGUGCGUGCCUGUAAUCCCAGCUACUCAGGAGGCUGAGGCAGGAGAAUUGCUUGAACUUGGGAGACAGAGGUUGUAGUGAGCCAAGAUCAUGCCACUGCACUCCAGCCUGGGCAACAAGAGCAAAACUCCAUCUCAAAAAGAAAAAAAAAAAAGAGAAAAACCUUCUCACAUAGUGGGUUGGGGCAUACAAGCUUGCAAGGAGUAGAUAUAUCUUUGGGGAAAAACUCACAUUAAGAACCAAGUUGAUUCAUUUUAGGUGUUGGCUUCUCAACUGGCAGCAUCAGUGAAUUCAUAUUAUGUAUUUAUUUAAACGAUACCCUCAGAAAUGUAGGCCUCUCUAUAGGUGAUCUUAUAUAAUGGAGCCAGAUGGGAGGUGGUUGAGGACUUGAAUUUAAAGUUUUCAAAAAUUUUUGCAAAUUUUUUAUUAAAGAGUGACAUAAAUACCCCAUUACUAAUAUUUAAUCGGAUGAGCAGCCAUAGGGGACCGCUAUGCCUUCUUCUUUUGCAAUUUUAUAGCUGCCAUGUUAUUUUUUAGAGGUUUAAAUAUAACAUCUCUUCACGACUCUGCAGGUUUUAAUUAUCAAAGCGGCUACAUCAAUUUUUGCCAAAAGCAGAGUGACCUUAUUUUAUAACUGAAACAAAGCCCAAAGCUUGGUCCCAGCAGCAGGCAGUUAAUA
RNAcentral lists this long non-coding RNA (1107 nucleotides) under Callithrix jacchus (white-tufted-ear marmoset). Its description in RNAcentral is "lncRNA (ENSCJAG00000071499.1)". Lineage: Eukaryota; Metazoa; Chordata; Mammalia; Primates; Cebidae. The record is from RNAcentral.